UCGCCGAGAGAGGAGCCCGCGUAGGAUUAGGUAGUUGGUGGGGUAAUGGCUCACCAAGCCGACGAUCCUUAGCUGUUCUGAGAGGAAGAUCAGCCACACUGGGACUGAGACACGGCCCAG
Molecule: ribosomal RNA, 120 nt
Filed under: uncultured bacterium
Lineage: Bacteria
Description: partial 16S ribosomal RNA
Rfam family: Bacterial small subunit ribosomal RNA
Source: RNAcentral